Molecule: ribosomal RNA, 672 nt
Filed under: Triticum aestivum (bread wheat)
Lineage: Eukaryota; Viridiplantae; Streptophyta; Magnoliopsida; Poales; Poaceae
Description: partial small subunit ribosomal RNA
Source: RNAcentral
AUGCUAUUCACUCAGGUGAGGAAGAUGGCAAGGAACCAAGAUGCCGCGGCCGAGGAGAGGAGGUUGGUGGCCGAGGAGAGGAGGGUGGCGGCCGAGGAGAGGAAGGUGGCAUUGGAGGAGCGAUCUAGGUUGUUGGAUUGGGAGAAGUAUUUGUUCUUCAUGGACACAUCUAUCCUCAAUGAGGCGCAAAAGGAGUAUGCUAAUCUUGCCCGUGAAGAAGUCUUGAUCCAAAAAAGAGCCAUGAUUCGCGGCAUGGGUGGCGGUGGCCUUGGCGGCAUGGGUGGCGGCGGCCUUUGCGGCAUGGGAGGCAUCGGUGGCUUCGGAGCUACCAUGGGCGGCAUGGGUGCCAUGGGUGGCUUUGGAGCUACCAUGGAGACCAUGGGAGGCAUGGGUGGCUUCGGAGCACCUCCGGGCGGCAUGGGCGGCAUGGGAGGCAUGAGUUUUGCGUCUCUCAUGGGAGGCAUGGGAGCACCUCCGGGGGGCAUGGGCGGAAUGUCUUCCAGUGUGCCUCACACACCUUCGCAUGAAGAUGCCGUUAAAGAUCUUGCCAACACCUUCCGAGCUUCACAUGAUGAUGCGGCGCGUAACAAUGAAGAGGAGGAGGAAAAAUCGUCUUCGGAGGAGGAGGAUGAACCGGAGGAAGAUGAGGAUGAAGACGAGGACGAGGCUUGA